This 503-nucleotide ribosomal RNA is filed under the name uncultured bacterium. RNAcentral's name for it is "partial 16S ribosomal RNA". It matches the Rfam family "Bacterial small subunit ribosomal RNA", at positions 30 to 523 of the family's 1533-position model. The record is from RNAcentral.
AUUGAACGCUGGCGGCAGGCUUAACACAUGCAAGUCGAGCGGGGUGAUGGUGCUUGCACUAUCACUUAGCGGCGGACGGGUGAGUAAUGCUUAGGAAUCUGCCUAUUAGUGGGGGACAACAUCUCGAAAGGGAUGCUAAUACCGCAUACGUCCUACGGGAGAAAGCAGGGGAUCACUUGUGACCUUGCGCUAAUAGAUGAGCCUAAGUCGGAUUAGCUAGUUGGUGGGGUAAAGGCCUACCAAGGCGACGAUCUGUAGCGGGUCUGAGAGGAUGAUCCGCCACACUGGGACUGAGACACGGCCCAGAAUCCUACGGGAGGCAGCAGUGGGGAAUAUUGGACAAUGGGGGGAACCCUGAUCCAGCCAUGCCGCGUGUGUGAAGAAGGCCUUAUGGUUGUAAAGCACUUUAAGCGAGGAGGAGGCUACUAGUACUAAUACUACUGGAUAGUGGACGUUACUCGCAGAAUAAGCACCGGCUAACUCUGUGCCAGCAGCCGCAGUAA